UACGUAGGGUGCAAGCGUUGUCCGGAAUUAUUGGGCGUAAAGAGCUCGUAGGCGGUCUGUCGCGUCUGGGGUGAAAAUCCAGGGCUUAACCCUGGACCUGCAUCGGGUACGGGCAGACUAGAGUGCGGUAGGGGAGAUCGGAAUUCCUGGUGUAGAGGUGAAAUGCGCAGAUAUCAGGAGGAACACCGGUGGCGAAGGCGGAUCUCUGGGCCGUAACUGACGCUGAGGAGCGAAAGCAUGGGGAGCGAACAGG
RNAcentral lists this ribosomal RNA (253 nucleotides) under uncultured bacterium. RNAcentral describes it as "partial 16S ribosomal RNA". It matches the Rfam family "Bacterial small subunit ribosomal RNA", at positions 524 to 776 of the family's 1533-position model. The record is from RNAcentral.